AGUUUCCAUCUUUUUCCUCCUCUUCUCCAUUGAAACAUCACCCAACCAUUAAAGCUCUAGUCUUGUUGAAGGAGAAACCAUUGUUGAAGGAUUGUGGUGUUUUCUCAACCUAUUUUUCUGUUCUCAAAAGGAUCCAAGAUCUGUGAGUGCAUUAGAUUCUAUUUGUGGUGUGGACCCUUGUCAUACCGAGUUCGAGUCGGAGGGGCAUACGGGUACAUGUUCAAGUAACCCAGGGGUCGAGAUCUCUAGCGGCAAGAGGCCGGAGCUUAGUUGAUAUUUCUGCCUAUGAUAUUUAUGUUUGGAUGUUGGAUGAUAUUUGUUGCUGUUAUGCUAUUAGUUUCGUGUUAUGGAUUUUGAGCUGAGACUCUGUUUAUUAUGUUACUAUUUGGUGAGCAUGGGGAUUGUCCAUGCCACAUUGACUUGGCUUUACGUUUUUAGU
Molecule: long non-coding RNA, 439 nt
Organism: Gastrolobium bilobum
Lineage: Eukaryota; Viridiplantae; Streptophyta; Magnoliopsida; Fabales; Fabaceae
Exons: 3
Source: RefSeq, a predicted model, not a curated record